RNAcentral lists this ribosomal RNA (497 nucleotides) under uncultured bacterium. RNAcentral's name for it is "partial 16S ribosomal RNA". It matches the Rfam family "Bacterial small subunit ribosomal RNA", at positions 28 to 507 of the family's 1533-position model. The record is from RNAcentral.
GAUGAACGCUGGCGGCGUGCCUAAUACAUGCAAGUCGAGCGAACAGAUGAGGAGCUUGCUCCUCUGACGUUAGCGGCGGACGGGUGAGUAACACGUGGAUAACCUACCUAUAAGACUGGGAUAACUUCGGGAAACCGGAGCUAAUACCGGAUAAUAUAUUGAACCGCAUGGUUCAAUAGUGAAAGACGGUUUUGCUGUCACUUAUAGAUGGAUCCGCGCCGCAUUAGCUAGUUGGUAAGGUAACGGCUUACCAAGGCAACGAUGCGUAGCCGACCUGAGAGGGUGAUCGGCCGCACUGGAACUGAGACACGGUCCAGACUCCUACGGGAGGCAGCAGUAGGGAAUCUUCCGCAGUGGGCGAAAGCCUGACGGAGCAACGCCGCGUGAGUGAUGAAGGUCUUCGGAUCGUAAAACUCUGUUAUUAGGGAAGAACAAAUGUGUAAGUAACUAUGCACGUCUUGACGGUACCUAAUCAGAAAGCCACGGCUAACUACGUG